CAGCAGCCGCGGGAAUACGAAGGGUGCAAGCGUUAAUCGGAAUUACUGGGCGUAAAGCGUGCGUAGGCGGUUUGUUAAGUCUGCUGUGAAAUCCCCGGGCUCAACCUGGGAAUGGCAGUGGAUACUGGCAAGCUAGAGUGUGUCAGAGGAUGGUGGAAUUCCCGGUGUAGCGGUGAAAUGCGUAGAGAUCGGGAGGAACAUCAGUGGCGAAGGCGGCCAUCUGGGACAACACUGACGCUGAGGCACGAAAGCGUGGGGAGCAAACAGGAUUAGAUACCCGAGUAGUCCCUGUCUCUUAUAA
Molecule: ribosomal RNA, 301 nt
Filed under: uncultured bacterium
Lineage: Bacteria
Description: partial 16S ribosomal RNA
Rfam family: Bacterial small subunit ribosomal RNA
Source: RNAcentral